AACGCACAUUGCGCCCCCUGGUAUUCCGGGGGGCAUGCCUGUUCGAGCGUCAUUUCACCAAUCAAGCCCUGCUUGGUAUUAGGCGAUGGCCAGCGCUCCGGCGCCCGGCCCGCCCGAACUGCAUCGGCGAGGACACCGACCCCCGGCGUGUUAGAAUUUCUGACGUCGAGAGCACCGGUGGACUCCGCCGUCGAUCUUUUAUUUUCAAAGGUUGACCUCGGAUCAGGUAGGAAUACCCGCUGAACUUAA
RNAcentral lists this unclassified non-coding RNA (249 nucleotides) under uncultured fungus. RNAcentral's name for it is "partial contains 5.8S ribosomal RNA, internal transcribed spacer 2, and large subunit ribosomal RNA". The stretch from base 1 to 52 matches the Rfam family "5.8S ribosomal RNA", at positions 103 to 154 of the family's 154-position model. Lineage: Eukaryota; Fungi. The record is from RNAcentral.